This 1292-nucleotide long non-coding RNA is filed under the name Equus caballus (horse). Its description in RNAcentral is "lncRNA (ENSECAG00000049850.1)". Lineage: Eukaryota; Metazoa; Chordata; Mammalia; Perissodactyla; Equidae. The record is from RNAcentral.
GGCCUGAGGACCUCAGCAAUAGAGCUGGGGGCCUUCAUGACACCUGAGUGUCAAUAUUCUCCUUAUAUCUUCCCAGGAUUUCCUAAGAAAAAGAGAUCUGCAGUAAUUGUCCAUGGUGGAAAAAUGAAGCACAGGUUCCUGGCCUAGAAUCAGACAGCACUCAUAAAAAGCUGAGGAAAAUAUCCCUGACACACCUGGUACAUGCUGCCUUCCAGCCCAGAAUAUUCCAGCCUCUUCUCUAAACAGAUUCUUGAAGAAAUGAAGUGUCAUGAGCUGUACUGAGAACAGUGCCCUUUUUGCCCUGUGGGUAUUUGGUGUUUAUUAAAGCAAGUCACACUGAAGUUCAAAAAGUGUCCAUGGCGGAAGGGACAGACUGUAAACUCAUCUGCUGACUCAGAACCCUGCACUGUCUAUUCACUUCAUCAAAUCUCCUGCCAUUAUGAACAGUCCUUGGGAGAUGUUCCCGGGGUGACAGGUCUUGGGCCACCCCUCAAAUCCCAUCACGUCGGCAGCCCCCUGCCCUAAUAAUAACGAUCUAGUGCCUGCUCAUGUGGCUUUGCAGAACUCCAAAACCAGUACACCGCCACUUAGAAACCCUGCUUUCAAAGUAUAUUUAUAAUUGCUAAUCAUCACCAGUUUGGUGACUUCAACAGAAGGUUGAAAACCUCUUACAAUACAAAGCAGCGCAUGUACAGACAAACAAAAGACAUGUAUGUUCCAGUUGACCCACCAUUAGGGAUCCCAGCGUUGACCAAUCAAUUAAGGCAAAUGACAAUCUUAUCCUUCCCCCUUGUAACCAGAAAGUGAACUGCGUGGUGUUAUUCUGGCAAUAUACAAGCGUCAGGUGCUCCAUCAGCCACAUGCCUAAUGCUUUUAACACCAGUUUAUACUUGUUGCUUGAGUCAAUAAUUCCAUUAAGAGUUUAAAGUGAUUAUCAGCCAGGGUUUUUGGUAGGCUAUGGAUGGCACACUUUAAUUAAUUAAAGGUUAAUUAAGAAUACUUUUAUGAAGGAGCUAUUUACUGAGGUGUGGGCAGGGCAGCAAGAACCAUCAAGGGAGGGUGCAGCACCCAGGAAUGAGUACCAGUGGGCAGCUAUUACCACCCCUAGUCCUGAAGGAGUGGUGCUCCCGGCACUGGGCGGGCUGUAGCCCUGGGAAACGAGCUGACCAAUGGGAGCCAUGGCUGCCAACAGAGGAAUGCAGUCAUGACCCAGACCUUGACCUGGCAGGGCACUCCAAAAGAAAUGAAAUUUUUCUGAUAACUUUGCUCUCUGUUUCUUGCCUGAAACACAG